GGGUGAGUAACGCGUGGAAAACCUGCCGUAUACUGGGGGAUAACACUUAGAAAUAGGUGCUAAUACCGCAUAAGCGCACAGCUUCGCAUGAAGCAGUGUGAAAAACUGAGGUGGUAUACGAUGGUUCCGCGUCUGAUUAGCUAGUUGGUGGGGUAAAAGCCUACCAAGGCAACGAUCAGUAGCCGGCCUGAGAGGGUGAACGGCCACAUUGGGACUGAGACACGGCCCAAACUCCUACGGGAGGCAGCAGUGGGGAAUAUUGCACAAUGGGGGAAACCCUGAUGCAGCGACGCCGCGUGAGUGAAGAAGUAUUUCGGUAUGUAAAGCUCUAUCAGCAGGGAAGAAAUACUGACCAUAGGGUCAGCAGACGGUACUUGACUAAGAAGCCCCGGCUAACUACGUGCCAGCAGCCGCGGUAAUACGUAGGGGGCAAGCGUUAUCCGGAUUUACUGGGUGUAAAGGGAGCGUAGACGGCAGCGCAAGUCUGAAGUGAAAUGCCAGGGCUUAACCCUGGAACUGCUUUGGAAACUGUGCAGCUAGAGUGCAGGAGAGGUAAGUGGAAUUUCUAGUGUAGCGGUGAAAUGCGUAGAUAUUAGGAGGAACACCAGUGGCGAAGGCGGCUUACUGGACUGUAACUGACGUUGAGGCUCGAAAGCGUGGGGAGCAAACAGGAUUAGAUACCCUGGUAGUCCACGCUGUAAACGAUG
Molecule: ribosomal RNA, 707 nt
Filed under: uncultured bacterium
Lineage: Bacteria
Description: bacterial SSU rRNA
Rfam family: Bacterial small subunit ribosomal RNA
Source: RNAcentral